Molecule: ribosomal RNA, 484 nt
Filed under: uncultured bacterium
Lineage: Bacteria
Description: partial 16S ribosomal RNA
Rfam family: Bacterial small subunit ribosomal RNA
Source: RNAcentral
AUUGAACGCUGGCGGCAUGCUUUACACAUGCAAGUCGAACGGCAGCGCGGGCUUCGGCCUGGCGGCGAGUGGCGAACGGGUGAGUAAUACAUCGGAACGUGCCCAGUAGUGGGGGAUAGCUCGGCGAAAGCCGGAUUAAUACCGCAUACGACCUGAGGGUGAAAGCGGGGGAUCUUCGGACCUCGCGCUAUUGGAGCGGCCGAUGGCAGAUUAGCUAGUUGGUGGGGUAAAGGCCUACCAAGGCGACGAUCUGUAGCUGGUCUGAGAGGACGACCAGCCACACGGGGACUGAGACACGGCCCAGACUCCUACGGGAGGCAGCAGUGGGGAAUUUUGGGCAAUGGGCGAAAGCCUGAUCCAGCAAUGCCGCGUGUGUGAUGAAGGCCUUCGGGUUGUAAAGCACUUUUGGCGGGAACGAAAAGGACUGUGCCAAUACCACGGUUCGAUGACGGUACCCGCAGAAUAAGCACCGGCUAACUACGUG